RNAcentral lists this ribosomal RNA (483 nucleotides) under uncultured bacterium. RNAcentral's name for it is "partial 16S ribosomal RNA". It matches the Rfam family "Bacterial small subunit ribosomal RNA", at positions 28 to 506 of the family's 1533-position model. The record is from RNAcentral.
AUUGAACGCUGGCGGCAUGCUUUACACAUGCAAGUCGAACGGCAGCGCGGGCUUCGGCCUGGCGGCGAGUGGCGAACGGGUGAGUAAUGCAUCGGAACGUGCCCAGUAGUGGGGGAUAGCCCGGCGAAAGCCGGAUUAAUACCGCAUACGACCUGAGGGUGAAAGCGGGGGACCGAAAGGCCUCGCGCUAUUGGAGCGGCCGAUGUCGGAUUAGCUAGUUGGUGGGGUAAAGGCUUACCAAGGCGACGAUCCGUAGCUGGUCUGAGAGGACGACCAGCCACACUGGGACUGAGACACGGCCCAGACUCCGACGGGAGGCAGCAGUGGGGAAUUUUGGACAAUGGGGGCAACCCUGAUCCAGCCAUGCCGCGUGCGGGAAGAAGGCCUUCGGGUUGUAAACCGCUUUUGUUCGGGAAGAAAUCCUCUGGGCUAAUACCCCGGGGGGAUGACGGUACCGGAAGAAUAAGCACCGGCUAACUACGU